This 425-nucleotide unclassified non-coding RNA is filed under the name Hevea brasiliensis (rubber tree). Lineage: Eukaryota; Viridiplantae; Streptophyta; Magnoliopsida; Malpighiales; Euphorbiaceae. The record is from RNAcentral.
GCCUAAAAUAAGUUCUGGACUGGCUUUAUAUACUACAGAAACCAAAACUAGUGAGAAAUUAAUGCCUAGCCAACUCAAAAUUAUCUCUGCUUGUACAAGGAGGACGAAGGAUGAACAUCAACUGCCUUUGAGCCACGGCUUUGGUUUAGUUCAGUCGCUGGAACAGUAUUAACAAACUGAUGUGGUGGAGGUGUGUUUGGCAACCCCAUAGAGCCUUCCAAAUAUGGUGGUGGCCUAUAAGCAUCACCAUUUAUGGUGUUUGGCAACUCCAUAGAGCCUUCCAGUUUUGGUGAUGGCCUAUUAGCAUCACCAGAUAUGGUUUUCCGCAAACCCUUAGAGCUUUCCGUGUACGGAGAAGGCCUACAAGCAUUACUAGAUAUGGUGUUUGGUAACCCCGGAGAGACUUUCAAGUAUGGCGGUGUCCU